CGCCUGUUUAUCAAAAACAUCGCCUCUUGCUAACAGUGAAGUAUUAGAGGUCCCGCCUGCCCUGUGACAGCAGUGUUUAACGGCCGCGGUAUUUUAACCGCGCGAAGGUAGCGUAAUCACUUGUCUUUUAAAUGGAGACCUGUAUGAAUGGCAUAACGAGGGUUUUACUGUCUCCUCCCCCCAGUCAAUGAAAUUGAUCUCCCCGUGCAGAAGCGGGGAUAGUAACAUAAGACGAGAAGACCCUAUGGAGCUUCAGGCAAAUGAUCAAGCUCACGAAGUCCUAGCAUUAAAUAAGUGUAGGAAAAGCAUAAAGCGUAUGAUCAAAGUGCCUUCGGUUGGGGCGACCAUGGAGGAAAGAAAAGCCUCCACGUGGAACGGGAAAACCCUUGAACUAAGAAGAACAACUCUAAGUACCAGAAAAUCUGACCAAGAAUGACCCAGACUUAAAUCUGAUCAACGAACCGAGUUACCCUAGGGAUAACAGCGCGAUCCCCUCCCAGAGUCCAUAUCGACGAGGGGGUUUACGACCUCGAUGUUGGAUCAGGACAUCCUAUUGGUGCAGCCGCUAUUAAGGGUUCGUUUGUUCAACGAUUAAUAGUCCUACGUGAUCUGAGUUCAGACCGG
RNAcentral lists this ribosomal RNA (624 nucleotides) under Gymnothorax reticularis. Its description in RNAcentral is "partial 16S ribosomal RNA". It matches the Rfam family "Bacterial large subunit ribosomal RNA", at positions 1797 to 2619 of the family's 2925-position model. Lineage: Eukaryota; Metazoa; Chordata; Actinopteri; Anguilliformes; Muraenidae. The record is from RNAcentral.